Molecule: ribosomal RNA, 250 nt
Filed under: uncultured bacterium
Lineage: Bacteria
Description: partial 16S ribosomal RNA
Rfam family: Bacterial small subunit ribosomal RNA
Source: RNAcentral
UACGAAUGGAGCGAGCGUUGUUCGGAAUCACUGGGCGUAAAGCGUGCGCAGGCGGUUGUGAAAGUUAGAAGUGAAAGCCCAGGGCUUAACCUUGGAAUUGCUUUUAAAACUCCACAACUAGAGUACUGGAGAGGUUAGCGGAAUUCCGAGUGUAGAGGUGAAAUUCGCAGAUAUUCGGAGGAACACCAAUGGCGUAGGCAGCUAACUGGACAGUAACUGACGCUCAGGCACGAAAGCGUGGGGAUCAAAC